CGCAGUCCUGCACACUCACACAUCCACACGCGCGCACACAAACACAGAGCUCUUUAUGAAGAGAAAAUCAGGCUGGCGCUGCAAAAAUGCAGAGAAGAUCUUUCGCUAAAAUGAUCUCAAGUGAACAGAGAAAGCUAAUCUGGAAGUUUGAAUGCUCAAUGUCUCCUCCAAAAUUAUCCAGACUGCUUUUGUUUGCAGAAGUCAGAUUGUGCAAGCUAUUGGUAUGUGGCUUGUCCUGGUAAGUUAAGAAGAACAAUCUACUUGAGAGGCUUCCAAUUAUUCUUACUUCUGGUCAGGUUAGAUACACAAUUAGAUCAGAUCCCUGACAGGUUUUUGGCUUCUUCAGUUUCAGAUCAAGCCAUUAUUAGUCCAAGUGCAUGCAGAUGGAAAUGAUUUAUUUUCUGUUAGCUGUUACAUGAAUUUGAUUGUCAACAAGAUCUUUCUCAGCUUUCACCAAGGUUUGGAGUCAGUCUUUGCAUCUGAGGUGGGGUGUCCACCUCGGCCACCUCAGCCAGAUGAGUUUGUUUUGGCGGAGGCACCUCAGCUGAUCAAAACUCGCAGAACUUAGCUUGAUUCUGUCUGUGUGGACCUCUGAAACUGCACAUUUCACAGGAAAGGGACGUAUGGGCAGAGGUGACUCCUGGGAUUCUUCCUGCCUGCGGUUUCCUCUUCUGCUACUGCGCUGCCAGCUCUUCUCAAUAUAUUGCUGUUCCACUGGGCCUUGUCCUUUACUUUGUUGGCAAAUAAGGUAAAUGACCCCUAUUCUGGCUGUCCAUAUGCUGCUAACAUCGCUGGUUUUGUUUCAGCAAACUGCAUGAGGAUGGUAUAGACAGAUGCCAAAAAGAGGGCCCCCAUAAGCCCAACAGGCCCUGCUGUGAAUCACCAAAGUGCCAGGGUGAAGCAGUGGUUUGAUGGAGAGAAGAAAAAGGGUAGGGAAAAAGGUUGUAAAAGGAUGACUCUUGGCUAUGAAAGUCAUUUUGCCUGAGGUCAGGAAGGUUGAGAUGUUU
Molecule: long non-coding RNA, 1007 nt
Organism: Cuculus canorus (common cuckoo)
Lineage: Eukaryota; Metazoa; Chordata; Aves; Cuculiformes; Cuculidae
Exons: 3
Source: RefSeq, a predicted model, not a curated record